Long non-coding RNA from Dromaius novaehollandiae (emu), 6832 nucleotides. RefSeq lists it as uncharacterized. The record is from RefSeq and is a predicted model, not a curated record. The transcript has 3 exons. NCBI's taxonomy places the organism in Eukaryota, Metazoa, Chordata, Aves, Casuariiformes, Dromaiidae.
GGGCAGGGCGGGGAAGGGGGGUUAUCUCUAUUUUGGUGCUGGGCGUGGGGCCGGGAAACAACGCGAGGAGAAGGCGGCGCAGUGUUUGAGCAGGCUUCACCUCCGCUUCCGAGCAGCUUUCCAGAAGCAACAUGCUUAUGAAGCCAAUGAAAAAGCCCAAGACAAAGAGGAUAGAACAUCUAUCGGACCAAAUCCAGCCGGUUUUUACCCAUCUCCUCCCAGUCACAGACAGCCCAACUCCACUGCAGACGGGCAUUAGUCAGAACGGGCGAAUGGCACGUCUCCCCAUCCUUCUCCGACCCGAGGAGAAGUAUCAUUUUUCUGCGAAGCAACACUUCCCUGAAUCACACUUCCUGACCGUGCUGAAACUCCACUGAGGCAAAUCAUUUUUCUAACCCCUGAACUGGAUGUUUCUAGAGGAAAUACUGACAGACUUCUGCAGAGGACAGUUGGGGAAAAGGGAUCUUUCAUCUAGACUUUUUGCAUGUAAACCAACCGCCUAAUGAGCUCUCUGAAGACCACAGGUAAUAUAUGAGUGUAACCUGACAGUGUGGCCAAAGCACUGAAUAUCCAGCGGCAACUCCCUCUCUUCAGGGGACAAUUUAAUCCAUCUCUCAAGGUUACAGAGCAAUUUAGCUAAAGAUCAUGGGUCAGAUUCUGAUCUCAUUUGUAUCUCAACUCCUUCUGUGAGCGAGGCCACCGCUUUCUCUACCGACCUGCUAGAAAGCUGGAAAGCAGCUAAAUGGUCAGAUCAGCACCUGAUCCUGCAAAGCUUUACUUGCCUGAGCAGUUGGGGACACUCAGUGGGGCCUACCCACGUCCAGCUUGGUAGAUAAAGCCAAAGCUGUUGAAGGCCAACAGACGAAACAUCUGAACUAUCCCCCAAAAUUAACCUGGAAGAAGCAGAAGAAAAAUAUCUACAGCUCAGAUCUUUCAGCCCAAAUACAUGGAACAAAUUGACAAUCGUUAGCAGUAAUUUCUCAACUAACGCCUCUGCAAGCAAGCACGGGGCUUGCAGGAUUGGCCCCCCCAAGCAAGGCAAAUCCUACACCCAGCUGACUCCAAGCAUACGCCAACUUACAGUCUGAUUCGAUUUAAAACAGCUGACUUGUAAAUGAGGCUUAUAAUGGAAUUGGCAAAUGACCCUUAAAUAUAGUAUUGCAAACCAGCAGCAUACAAAAAUAAUCAGGGCUCAAGUCAGGAUUCAGACCUCAGCCGCAAACGAGAGCAGGAUCACGGGUGCUUCACACCGCUGGGCAAGAAACAGCACAAGCAAGCUGGGAGAAAACCUCAGCCUCUCUCCUCUUGGGGCUUUCAGAGGUGACCCUUCAGAAAGAAAAAAAGGAGAGGAAAAAAGGAGAAAAGGCGGCCCCGCCGCGUAAAGAGAGACAGGCUUGCGUGUUUGUUUUGGCUGAUCCUGAACUCCAGGCAGUUUCCAACUGGAACCCAGAAAUGCUUAUGGUGUUUGGAUUCCGUCUACAUCCCUCCCAUGACGUGAAGAGCCUUUCGGGAUGAUGGGCUGGGAUUUUUCUUCCCCUAACGACUAUAUUUACUGCUGCAUUUUGAACUCACCAUGCUGUCAUUACAAUGUCAGAUUAAAUUACAUGUAUGAUAACCAUAACAGAAAUACAUGCACUGGUUCACAAAGGCUUUACAAGGAAACAUUUUCAGGGGAAGUUGGGAUUGCUCGAACGUCCGGACUCAAAGGGGGUGUCCAAAAGAGGCUUUGAAUUAAAGGGCACUGACUGCAGCCAGAAUCUGGCCUGCUGGAGCUGAACAGAUGGAAUUUAUGCUUUUGUCUGGCUUUACCGGGUAAAGUGUUUUUUAUUUGUCCUGGUGUAACUGCAAAUUUGCUCCAGCGAUUUAACCAAUGCUACCCUGGAUUUACACCAGUGCAGCUGAGGACAAGGAAGUUAAAAUGGGCUGCGAGACAGUUCUGCAAAUUAAUCCAAAUCCUCUACCUGGCCAGAGGUAACUGGAUCUGCCUUUGAGGCUGUUCUUCCAAAUAUCCCUGUAACUGCUGGGAAAAAAUAGCAGCCAGGUUUCUUCCAACCGCUGUGGGCAGCUGGGUAAGUGAACUUGGCUGAUCUGCCUCGAGGGCUGUUCCAGGGCACAGUUACAGAGGCAGCAACCUCCAGGAGAGAGGUAGGAUGGCAUCAUCUUCCAUCGGCACAGCUGGAUGCGUAAGUCAACAUCUGUGCAGGCUCUGAUUGCAUCUACCUACGGGGAAAGGUACAACUAUAACUAAGCCAGUUUAGAUAAAGUGCUACAUCUUCCAGGCAAACCUAUUAGAUGUUACAGACCACUUUUGUGGAGCAGUGUGACAUAUCAAUAUCUACACAUGCUUUGGCUCUCAGCUCCUAAACAGAAGGUGUCUUGCUGAGCAGCUGCUUCACUCUUGCUGUCUUACACAAAAAGAAAUGCAGGUGCCUAACACAACCCCACGUAUCUGUGCACGGGAGAAGGAUAUUGCAUGGGUGUAGAAAGUACAUGGCAUCCACGGUACUAGUCCAAGAUACAGUCUUCCUCCUGGGCAUGAAAGCCUCAGGAUUUUACCCCACUGUCCUCAUCAUUUCACUGUCUCUGUUUUGCAUUUCCUCUUACAGCAUAGAGAUGUCAGUCCCUGCGUUAAUUGUAUUUACCGUGAAUUCUCUCUAGCUGAGGAAAAUUCCUUAGAUAAAGGGUUACAAUAAAAUAAGACAUUUGGAAAGAUCUAUCUCUCCAUCCACCCAUCUAGCCUCCCAUCUCUGGCAUUUCUAAUACACAUUAUGCUGCUUUAUUUACGCAUCACAUUAGCAAAAUAACCUUUAAAACAUUUUAAUUUAUUCUCCCUGUUUGUCAGUGAAAACAUUCACCCAAAAUCAGCUUAAAUGCUGCAUCUUGCAUUUUAUGUGUUUUUUAGGCACAUAUAUCCCCUCAUUCAGUCCUAGGAACGGGCAGGAACCCAGCGGCUUGCCAACACUGCACUUCAAAGCAGUUCGCCAGCGCUCGCCACGACCACGGGCUGGAAUGAAACGGCAGCGCUGCAGCACGCCGGGACUUCCCUUUUCCAUGUCGGCACUUCAAAAUGUUUAAAAAUGCACUUACGCCCCAUUCUGACCGCUGCCUCUGUUUGCAAACCCUGCCCCGAGCUUCGUGUCAGGUCAGCGGGAGUCGCGUCCGCGUUGUUCGCAUACCUGAGGACGAGGCAGCGGGACUCGCUCGCUGCACACGGAACAAAGACCCGAGUUACUGCAGCGCUCUGCCCGGUGCCGCGCAAUUAUGGUUAGAGAAAACCCUUGUUUAGAGCAGAACCCUUCCAGCUGGGGAAAAAGUGACUUAAUUAUAAGCUCAUUGUGCUCCGGGCGUGUACAGUAUGUUUGUGAGUGGCGCGUGUAUACGUGUGUGUGAGGCUAAGAGCAGGGCUGUGCUCCUUGCCCAGGUGGACAGCCACAUCUGCUGACCCACCGAUGAGUUGCAGUUGAUGGUAGGGGCAAGCAAACCAGCUUCUACAGAUGGUGAAACGGGGGAUUUGAAGUGUCCUUCCAUGGCUUCCAUGAGGACCUGCUGAGGGCCUCGGCGACAAGCUUGCUUGGCGCUUGUGAAAGGUGAUGGAUGGGCAGCAGCGGAGACAGAAAUCUUCCUUUUAUAUUUGUGGGGCAGGUACCUCAUCAGCAACAGCAGCAGCUACACGAGCUGCAUCUUCUCCGAACAACAGCAAUCCUGAGACAAAAAAAGGUGCUUCAGUAUAUCCUUAGGCUUUCUGCAAUAUCUGGCUCCUAUAACCAUCUCACCUCUGUCAUUAAUGGACUUCAUGCUUUCAAAAGGUGAGGUUGAGCCAGGUCUAGCUGUAGCCAGCAGCACACAUGUCCAAGCUCAUAUCUGAGUCUCCAGACCCUGCACCUCCAAGCACAGUCUACCCCUCAUCUCUAGUGGUACCAAGAUAACUGAGCUGCGCUGGUACUUCCCAUCCUGGCCGCCUCUGUAUGAAGCAAGCAAGCAUCACCUCCUCUUGGCUAGAAAGCAGCCUUGCAGAGAAGGACCUGGGGGUGCUGGUGGACCACAAGGUGCACAGGAGUCAGCAGUAUGCCCUUGCAGUGAAGAAGGCCGGACACACACUGAGCUGCACUAGGAAAAGUGUUGCCAGGAGGUUGAAGGAAAUGAUUCUUCCUCUCUCUUCAGCGCUUGUGAGGUGAGAUCUGGAGGACUGUGUCCAGCUGGGGCUCUCCAGUACAGGACAAACGUUAUCAUCCUGGAGGUAUAGCAAGAUGGUUAGGGGGCUGGAGCACACAGUGUAAGAGGAGAAGUUUGUUCAGACCAGAAGAGAGAAGGUGAAGGUGGGAACUUAAUUGCUUUAGUCAACUACUUAUGGAAUAGCUAUAGAGAAGGUGGAGAGGGCAAGAUGCUACGGAUGCAAGUUGCAGCAAAGGAUGUUUUGAUCAUAUGUAAGAAAAACAUGUUUUACUAUGCGGCUGGUCAAACAUUGGACCAUGCACCCAGAGGGGCUUUUUCUGUCCUUGGAGAUACUCAAAACUCACUGAUACAAAGGCAUGAGCCAGACCUAGCACUUGUCCUGCUUUGGGUGGAAGAUUGAACAAGAGGCCUCCAAAGGUCCUCACCAACCAAAGCCAGUCUCUGACUCCAUGUUUUGGUUUUGCAGGUAGGGAACCAAGGCAGAAAGGAGAUGAAACGAUACAAGCACAAGCUCAUAGUGGGUCUGCACCUGAGGCUACAUCUCCAGAGAGCUCUCUAGAGCCCUUCCCACACUGCUGUAGAAUCAACUGCUUCUGGGUAUAUUAGACAUGGCACCAUAGCUGUAUAAGUGCUGGGCUUUCCAGGGUCAUCUGCUCUUCUUUCUUCCCUGGUCAAAGGAAGCUAUUCUCCAGCUGUAAAACUCUUCUUCUUCUUCUUUUUUUUUUUUAACUUCAGGGCCAAUUCAGCAACUCAUCUUUCUCCUAAGACUGUCAGCAAAAGUGUCAUCUGUACUGCUGGUUUCUGUGAUGUGGAAUCAUGCCCACCAAGACUUGGACCAAGACUAUGCAGCCCAUUUCGUGUAAGCCACCAACCAGCCCACACUUGGCAAAAACUGAAGACCGUAUCAACCAUGCCUGCAUGACUUAUGGCUCUGGGCCAUUUUUCUCCAGCACUCUGAGCAGCCACGAUAUAAAUCUUGCUCUUCAUUCACUAGUCUUAGGCCAUGACAACACAAUCACUUGGCUCCCCACGCCACACAGUCUUUGGGUGUUUGUCAGAGAUGUGUCAGUGGAAAAACGAACUCUAUACCCUGGCGAGAGCAGCUGGAAGGAGAGCAGUUCUUCAUAAAACCAACCACUGCUGCCCUUUCUCAGCUCACUUGCUGGCUGCAGGACGAAUUCAGAUCCUUGUGAAAUCACUACGGACAUUUACCUGCACUGGGAGCAAAUCCGUAUUUCUCCUUCCAGGGGGAAUAAACAAGCAGAAUUUUCUUUGCGCAGAUAAAUGCAGGGCCAGCGUCGUGCUUCCCCUGCAGUGCCAGCACUCUCACACCUAAACAUCUUCAUGAAACAGUGUGCAUGUGCAUGUACACACAUCCUUUAUUUGGACCUAAAUUGACUCCUUAUGGAGAAGCCCACUUGUCCCACUGAAGUCAGUUGAGUCCUCCCACCCACCUCAGCGAGGCUACGAUUCCUGAUAAACCGCACAGUGGUAAUUGGUAGAGUCACAGAGAAAGCAAUUUCCUCAACCGGUAAAACUGAAGUUCUGUAGCACUUUUUAUAUAUUACCCAAAUGAUCCUUUUCACUGCCUUAAACCUCUUUACUGAAAUAUUCUUGGCUCUGAUUAUUACCGUCCUGCUAGAGCGUGCUGAUGGGAUGCUGGGACCCUACCGCGUGCUGGACGGUGCACAAACAUACAUCCACAGUGACCACCCCUAUGGAGACCAGCGAUAGAGAAGAUGACAGUGGGAUUUGAUAGGAAGGACAAAGCAGUCUCAAACCGCUCUUGAGCCCUAGUAUUAUACGGAUGCAGUUCAGGAAAGUCACGCAGUUAUUAAUUAUCAGGUUAUCAGUACCAGAGAGGUGGAGUCUUACUUCUGUCCAACUGGGGAACGAAGAGAGCCCAUCCCCAGCUGAAAGCUGUGGGUGAAGGUAUUGCACCAGCGAGAGGAUUAAAUCACGUUCCCUAAUUUAAUAUUUCCCAAUAUGAGGAAAAGACACAGAGGAAGAGCCCAGGUAAAACGCUAGCUGCUGAAGGUGGGUUAGGAAAGGCUCGCAGCAGAGAGAAGCUCGGAGAAGGAUUGCAGGGGGAGGAAGUUGCCUGCCACAUGAGCCACCGAGCGCUUCAAACACGGGGCACGGAUAAAUGGAGUCACGGAGCAGGGUGGGAGGAGAUGAAGGAAGCAGGCAGGAGAGAAGAUUACAGGAGUGUAAGGAACAACAAAGAGGAGGAGAGAGGAGAGGAAAAAUUAUGCAGGGCCUCGAAGGUCAAAAGAGUCAACUUCAAAAGGAUUCCUUAAAAGACAUAAAGCCAAUGCCUUCAUAUUCAAUUAUUUAGUUUUCACACAAAUCUAAGUAAUAUAUGGUUUUUUUGCACUCCCAACACUCAAUCUGGCACAAAACAAAGACAAAGUGGAGAAAUGAUGGGAGAAGCUUCAGACUCUUUGCUUCCCCGAUGCACUUAGAUGGGGCUGGAUUCUGCGCUACCCCCUCGCAAAGCGAGCUGAGCACGGAGGAGGCUUUUCUGCUUCGUGUGAAUGGGAGGGUGCAAGCGGGACCACAACCAGGAUUUCUUGUUCGUGGACUGCAAAAUGGUAAAAGAUAACUUCAAGUUAGCUUAAACUCUUGCUUGCCCCAAAAUAAAAUGUUCUGUAUAAAU